This 401-nucleotide ribosomal RNA is filed under the name Anaplasma capra. Its description in RNAcentral is "bacterial SSU rRNA". It matches the Rfam family "Bacterial small subunit ribosomal RNA", at positions 851 to 1248 of the family's 1533-position model. Lineage: Bacteria; Pseudomonadati; Pseudomonadota; Alphaproteobacteria; Rickettsiales; Anaplasmataceae. The record is from RNAcentral.
GCUAACGCGUUAAGCACUCCGCCUGGGGACUACGGUCGCAAGACUAAAACUCAAAGGAAUUGACGGGGACCCGCACAAGCGGUGGAGCAUGUGGUUUAAUUCGAUGCAACGCGAAAAACCUUACCACUUCUUGACAUGGAGGUUAGAUCUUUCUUAACAGAAAGGCGCAGUUCGGCUGGACCUCACACAGGUGCUGCAUGGCUGUCGUCAGCUCGUGUCGUGAGAUGUUGGGUUAAGUCCCGCAACGAGCGUAACCCUCAUCCUUAGUUACCAGCGGGUAAUGCCGGGCACUUUAAGGAAACUGCCGGUGAUAAACCGGAGGAAGGUGGGGAUGAUGUCAAGUCAGCACGGCCCUUAUGGGGUGGGCUACACACGUGCUACAAUGGCGACCACAAUAGGUU